AUUGAACGCUGGAGGCAGGCCUAACACAUGCAAGUCGAACGGUAACAGGAAGCAGCUUGCUGCUUUGCUGACGAGUGGCGGACGGGUGAGUAAUGUCUUGGGAAACUGCCUGAUGGAGGGGGAUAACUACUGGAAACGGUAGCUAAUACCGCAUAACGUCGCAAGACCAAAGAGGGGGACCUUCGGGCCUCUUGCCAUCGGAUGUGCCCAGAUGGGAUUAGCUAGUAGGUGGGGUAACGGCUCACCUAGGCGACGAUCCCUAGCUGGUCUGAGAGGAUGACCAGCCACACUGGAACUGAGACACGGUCCAGACUCCUACGGGAGGCAGCAGUGGGGAAUAUUGCACAAUGGGCGCAAGCCUGAUGCAGCCAUGCCGCGUGUAUGAAGAAGGCCUUUCGGGUUGUAAAGUACUUUUCAGCGGGGAGGAAGGCGAUAAGGUUAAUAACCUUGUCGAUUGACGUUACCCGCAGAAGA
This 474-nucleotide ribosomal RNA is filed under the name Enterobacter hormaechei. RNAcentral describes it as "bacterial SSU rRNA". It matches the Rfam family "Bacterial small subunit ribosomal RNA", at positions 30 to 488 of the family's 1533-position model. Lineage: Bacteria; Pseudomonadati; Pseudomonadota; Gammaproteobacteria; Enterobacterales; Enterobacteriaceae. The record is from RNAcentral.